GUAGCCGGCCUGAGAGGGUGACCGGCCACACUGGAACUGAGACACGGUCCAGACUCCUACGGGAGGCAGCAGUGGGGAAUAUUGCACAAUGGGCGCAAGCCUGAUGCAGCAACGCCGCGUGAGGGAUGAAGGCCUUCGGGUUGUAAACCUCUUUUAGCAGGGAAGAAGCGAAAGUGACGGUACCUGCAGAAAAAGCACCGGCUAACUACGUGCCAGCAGCCGCGGUAAUACGUAGGGUGCAAGCGUUGUCCGGAAUUAUUGGGCGUAAAGAGCUCGUAGGCGGUUUGUCACGUCUGCUGUGAAAUUCCGAGGCUCAACCUCGGACUUGCAGUGGGUACGGGCAGGCUAGAGUGCGGUAGGGGAGAUGGGAAUUCCUGGUGUAGCGGUGGAAUGCGCAGAUAUCAGGAGGAACACCAAUGGCGAAGGCACAUCUCUGGGCCGUAACUGACGCUGAGGAGCGAAAGCGUGGGGAGCGAACAGGAUUAGAUACCCUGGUAGUCCACGCCGUAAACGGUGGGUGCUAGCUGUGGGCCACAUUCCACGUGGUCCGUGACGAAGUUAACACAUUAAGCACCCCGCCUGGGGAGUACGGCCGCAAGGCUAAAACUCAAAGGAAUUGACGGGGGCCCGCACAAGCGGCGGAGCAUGCGGAUUAAUUCGAUGCAACGCGAAGAACCUUACCAAGGCUUGACAUAUAGAGGAAAAGUGCAGAAAUGUACU
RNAcentral lists this ribosomal RNA (720 nucleotides) under uncultured bacterium. RNAcentral describes it as "bacterial SSU rRNA". It matches the Rfam family "Bacterial small subunit ribosomal RNA", at positions 283 to 1012 of the family's 1533-position model. The record is from RNAcentral.